UGGGGAAUUUUGGACAAUGGGCGAAAGCCUGAUCCAGCAAUGCCGCGUGUGUGAAGAAGGCCUUCGGGUUGUAAAGCACUUUUGUCCGGAAAGAAAUCCUUGGCUCUAAUACAGUCGGGGGAUGACGGUACCGGAAGAAUAAGCACCGGCUAACUACGUGCCAGCAGCCGCGGUAAUACGUAGGGUGCAAGCGUUAAUCGGAAUUACUGGGCGUAAAGCGUGCGCAGGCGGUUUGCUAAAACCGAUGUGAAAUCCCCGGGCUCAACCUGGGAACUGCAUUGGUGACUGGCAGGCUAGAGUAUGGCAGAGGGGGGUAGAAUUCCACGUGCAGCAGUGAAAUGCGUAGAGAUGUGGAGGAAUACCGAUGGCGAAGGCAGCCCCCUGGGCCAAUACUGACGCUCAUGCACGAAAGCGUGGGGAGCAAACAGGAUUAGAUACCCUGGUAGUCCACGCCCUAAACGAUGUCAACUAGUUGUUGGGGACUUCAUUUUCCUUAGUAACGUAGCUAACGCGUGAAGUUGACCGCCUGGGGAGUACGGUCGCAAGAUUAAAACUCAAAUGAAUUGACGGGGUCAUAGCUG
This 581-nucleotide ribosomal RNA is filed under the name uncultured bacterium. RNAcentral describes it as "partial 16S ribosomal RNA". It matches the Rfam family "Bacterial small subunit ribosomal RNA", at positions 355 to 932 of the family's 1533-position model. The record is from RNAcentral.